Molecule: ribosomal RNA, 497 nt
Filed under: uncultured bacterium
Lineage: Bacteria
Description: partial 16S ribosomal RNA
Rfam family: Bacterial small subunit ribosomal RNA
Source: RNAcentral
GAUGAACGCUGGCGGCGUGCCUAAUACAUGCAAGUCGAGCGAACAGACGAGGAGCUUGCUCCUCUGACGUUAGCGGCGGACGGGUGAGUAACACGUGGAUAACCUACCUAUAAGACUGGGAUAACUUCGGGAAACCGGAGCUAAUACCGGAUAAUAUAUUGAACCGCAUGGUUCAAUAGUGAAAGACGGUUUUGCUGUCACUUAUAGAUGGAUCCGCGCCGCAUUAGCUAGUUGGUAAGGUAACGGCUUACCAAGGCAACGAUGCGUAGCCGACCUGAGAGGGUGAUCGGCGACACUGGAACUGAGACGCGGUCCAGACUCCUACGGGAGGCAGCAGUAGGGAAUCUUCCGCAAUGGGCGAAAGCCUGACGGAGCAACGCCGCGUGAGUGAUGAAGGUCUUCGGAUCGUAAAACUCUGUUAUUAGGGAAGAACAAAUGUGUAAGUAACUAUGCACGUCUUGACGGUACCUAAUCAGAAAGCCACGGCUAACUACGUG